This 73-nucleotide transfer RNA is filed under the name Chelonia mydas (Green sea turtle). It matches the Rfam family "tRNA". Rfam says of the family: Transfer RNA (tRNA) molecules are approximately 80 nucleotides in length. Their secondary structure includes four short double-helical elements and three loops (D, anti-codon, and T loops). Further hydrogen bonds mediate the characteristic L-shaped molecular structure. tRNAs have two regions of fundamental functional importance: the anti-codon, which is responsible for specific mRNA codon recognition, and the 3' end, to which the tRNAs corresponding amino acid is attached (by aminoacyl-tRNA synthetases). tRNAs cope with the degeneracy of the genetic code in two manners: having more than one tRNA (with a specific anti-codon) for a particular amino acid; and 'wobble' base-pairing, i.e. permitting non-standard base-pairing at the 3rd anti-codon position. Lineage: Eukaryota; Metazoa; Chordata; Testudines; Cheloniidae. The record is from Rfam by way of RNAcentral.
GGAAAAAUGGCCCAGUGGUUAGGGCACUCACCUAGAACUUGGGAAAACCUGGGUUCAAGCCCCUGUUCUGCCA